This 474-nucleotide ribosomal RNA is filed under the name uncultured bacterium. Its description in RNAcentral is "bacterial SSU rRNA". It matches the Rfam family "Bacterial small subunit ribosomal RNA", at positions 328 to 793 of the family's 1533-position model. The record is from RNAcentral.
UUGUCACACUCCUACGGGAGGCAGCAGUGGGGAAUAUUGCACAAUGGGGGAAACCCUGAUUGCUAGCCAUGCCGCGUGUAUGAAGAAGGCCUUCGGGUGUAAAGUACUUUCAGCAGUGAGGAAGGUGGAUAUGUUAAUAGCAUAUUCAUUUGACGUUAGCUGCAGAAGAAGCACCGGCUAACUCCGUGCCAGCAGCCGCGGUAAUACGGAGGGUGCGAGCGUUAAUCGGAAUUACUGGGCGUAAAGCGCAUGCAGGUGGUUUGUUAAGUCAGAUGUGAAAGCCCCGGGGCUCAACCUCGGAAUUGCAUUUGAAACUGGCAAACUAGAGUACUGUAGAGGGGGUAGAAUUUCAGGUGUAGCGGUGAAAUGCGUAGAGAUCUGAAGGAAUACCGGUGGCGAAGGCGGCCCCCUGGACAGAUACUGACACUCAGAUGCGAAAGCGUGGGGAGCAAACAGGAUUAGAUACCCUGGUAG